Molecule: ribosomal RNA, 301 nt
Filed under: uncultured bacterium
Lineage: Bacteria
Description: partial 16S ribosomal RNA
Rfam family: Bacterial small subunit ribosomal RNA
Source: RNAcentral
CAGUCGCCGCGGGAAUACGGAGGGUGCAAGCGUUAUCCGGAUUUAUUGGGUUUAAAGGGUCCGUAGGCGGAUCUGUAAGUCAGUGGUGAAAUCUCACAGCUUAACUGUGAAACUGCCAUUGAUACUGCAGGUCUUGAGUAAAUUUGAAGUGGCUGGAAUAAGUAGUGUAGCGGUGAAAUGCAUAGAUAUUACUUAGAACACCAAUUGCGAAGGCAGGUCACUAAGAUUUAACUGACGCUGAUGGACGAAAGCGUGGGGAGCGAACAGGAUUAGAGACCCGAGUAGUCCCUGUCUCUUAUAC